Molecule: long non-coding RNA, 1755 nt
Organism: Scophthalmus maximus (turbot)
Lineage: Eukaryota; Metazoa; Chordata; Actinopteri; Pleuronectiformes; Scophthalmidae
Exons: 2
Source: RefSeq, a predicted model, not a curated record
UAAGAACACUAUGGCGUUUGUUCAAAGUGCCUGAAUGUGUCCUGCUACGUUUACAAGACAAUACGAGGGUUUUCAACUAUUGAAUUCAAAGAGGGAGGGGGACAAAGUUUUAGACAUCAACACAAGCCGAUUCAGAUUCCAGGUAGUGGCUCGAGUCUCAUAGCACAGAGGUGGUUCUAUUAACUACGAGGCUGUCGCAUGUCCGCCACGGCAAUUUAACAUCAGGUUCAGACCCUGUCGAGUCGCUCGAGCAGCUCACUUCUGGCUUUUCUGAUCGUCUCCAACGUGACGUUUGCUUCUCGAGUGAAACUGCCGCAAAGUGAGACGACGGCUCGGUUGAGUAUCGGUCAGAGUCAACGACUUCUUCAGUGUAACUCACGCGGUUCGGUCCUCGUCUCAGUGAGUCAGUGUGUUUUCCUUCCCACGGUCUCUUCCUUCCUCGCCUCGCCUCGGUUCAAACGAGAAAGCUGGGGCUUUUCGUUUCGCUGUCGCCGCCGGUAGUUUUCUUCACCCAGCCAUUAGGAAGUUCAUGCGGCUUCUGCUCUGCUGCUGUUGUAUUCCGAGCCCAUCCCCCAUCCACACACACUGGUGUUCUCUCACACACACACACACGCGCGCACACACAUACACACACAGAGUUGGGACGUUGGGUUUUUUCUUUUUUCUUUUUCCACCUUCGGUUUCAACGCUUUUGUAUUUAAAAGCAAAACAACAACCCGUUCCCCUUUUUGCAGUCGUAAUGGAAGUAAGGGCUCGCACUUUCCGCUUAUUCUCCUCUUUCCAUGGCUGUCUGUCCGGGUCUGUCCGCGACCAGCGGGGCAGGGAGGGAGUUUGAACCGGGGGAACACAACAGCGGUUUGCCCGCCUUACCGUUGGCUCCACACUUCAGCCUGCCCGCACAAGCGCCGCCCCCGAGCCGGAAUACUUCCUGGGGAGGAGCCAAUCAGGCGCGCUGCCCUCAUCGCAGGCGGUCCGCCGGAGCUUGUCACGCGCCACACCGGAGGAGGUAUGUCGGUUAUCGCGAUGACUUCAGGUGUAACUCUGGGUGUUUUCCGUUGGAAGAAGCCGCUGUUCUUCUUAUCCGGGCUCACCGCUCAGGUCAGCCGGCCCUCCUGCCAGGAUGAAGGAGACGAAGAUGCCUUCUCCGUCCUCCCCACCGACGAUGUUGAAGCCCAGGCCCGUGGAGCCUUUGUGCAGCAACACCUUCCUCGGCUCCCUGCCAAAACAGAGUGACAGUGUCAGGGUGAAGGGCAAGACGAGGAGGGCAAAAGGAGAAGAGAUGAGCAGAUAGAGAGGCACAAACAGAUGUGUACACAGAGGAUGUUUCAGACAACAGCCGUCUUCUGCUAUUUGAUCCCAAAACGUUGAGUGCAUUCAGCAUAGGCAGGUACACGCAGGCCUACAGCAGCAGAAACACCCCAACACCCACAUGUAAAGCCUGUUGAGCUCUCAUUAUUUACCAAUGUGGCAAAACUAUUUUUUUCAUUUCACAAUUAACACUCACACCCACAUAAAUCAGCAAAGUGUUAAUCUAUUUAAAGUAAGGGAAAACUAUAUUUUUCAGUUUUAUUUUCAUAAUAAAGUUGCGCUAUCUUCUUUAGCUUAAGAUGGACAAUAAUAAAACAAGGUCAGAGCUGUUAUCAUUACACCACCGAUAAACCUACAGGACACUAUGAACUGGUAGAAACAAUGAUUACAGAAAAAACAAUUAUGCAAUAAUCAUGUUGCCAAUAAAGAUAUUUUGGAUUACUUUGA